CCUACGGGGGGCAGCAGUGGGGAAUAUUGGGCAAUGGACGCAAGCCUGAACCAGCAACGCCGCGUGAAGGAAGAAGGCUCUCGGGUUGUUAACCUCUUUUUUCAGGGACGAAACAGGUGACGGUACUUGCUGACUAAGCCACGCCUAACUACGUGCCAGCAGCCGCGGUAAUACGUAGGUUGCAAGCGUUCUCCGGAUUUACUGGGUGUAAAGGGUGUGUAGGCGGGAGUGCAAGUCAGAUGUGAAAACUAUGGGCUCAACCCAUCGCCUGCAUUUGACACUGUACGUCUUGAGUGCUGUAGAGGUAAGCGGAAUGCCGGGUGUAGCGGUGAAAUGCGUAGAGAUACGGAGGAACACCAGUGGCGAAGGCAGAUUGCUGGACAGUAACUGACGCUGAGGCGCGAAAGCGUGGGGAGCAAACAGGAUUAGAUACCCUUGUAGUC
This 443-nucleotide ribosomal RNA is filed under the name uncultured bacterium. RNAcentral's name for it is "partial 16S ribosomal RNA". It matches the Rfam family "Bacterial small subunit ribosomal RNA", at positions 338 to 795 of the family's 1533-position model. The record is from RNAcentral.